Molecule: ribosomal RNA, 320 nt
Filed under: uncultured bacterium
Lineage: Bacteria
Description: bacterial SSU rRNA
Rfam family: Bacterial small subunit ribosomal RNA
Source: RNAcentral
GCAAGGUGAGUGGCAGACGGGUGAGUAACGCGUGGGAACCUUCCCUUUGGUACGGAAUAACUUCGGGAAACCGAAGCUAAUACCGUAUAAGUCCUUCGGGAGAAAGAUUUAUCGCCAAAGGAUGGGCCCGCGUUGGAUUAGCUAGUUGGUGGGGUAAAGGCCUACCAAGGCAACGAUCCAUAGCUGGUCUGAGAGGAUGAUCAGCCACACUGGGACUGAGACACGGCCCAGACUCCUACGGGAGGCAGCAGUGGGGAAUAUUGGACAAUGGGCGCAAGCCUGAUCCAGCCAUGCCGCGUGAGUGAAGAAGGCUCUUAGGG